CCAGUACUUGCAGGUAUUCAUUACCAACUUCCACUACUAUAUGCAUCAACUAUGUAAUCUCAUCACAUAUGCUUUGUUAAUUGCAACUACAGAGAAAUUGAUGAACAAACAUCAAAAUUAGUUUGCCAAUUACAAACCAUAUAGUAUGUCCUCUGCUUAAAAGGUAAUAACACAUGUACAUGAUCUACAAUUCUUUGUUGGCAUACUAUCAGUAGGAGAACAAGAAUAUUUCCAGGAAACUGAUUGAUCCAGACAACAUCCUUCAAAACAAUGUGGUACCUGACAUGUGUACAUUAAAAUUAUCGUCAGCAACUCAGAAUUUCCGGACAAGUAAAAUAAGGUGCUUACAAGAUGUCCUCACUAUCAUGUACUGCUUACAUACUUUGUGAUAACCCCGACGAGGAAUAAAAUUCUAAGAAAGUUAAAUAUGAUUGGAUUUCGACUAUCAAUAUGAUACUAGCCCAUCCAAGUGCACGGGUCAACUAUCAAAAUACUUGAUACUCUUUGCAUGUUGUUGUUCUUGGACAAAAUGCUUACAUUUUUCCCUCAUAUUUUUCAGGAUUAACUACCUGCAGUCAGCAUGCGUCGAACUCGCAAUGGACUUGACAAAAACAACAAUAGGUAUUCGUUACCACAAUAUAAAAACAAUUUUAUACCCAUUAAUUUACCUAGAUUAUUAAAAUGGCACCAAAAUCUAAUGCAGCAAUGAAAGACCUGACAAAGCAACCUCCAAACUUGCCACUCUACAAUCUAAUGAUAAUCAACCAGACAUCAUUAGAGCAGCAAUGAAGGAUGCUGCACGGAAAAGGAAAGAAAUACUUCAGCAGAAAAGGAAUCAGGUGCUUAUAAGAUGUCCUCACUAGCAUGUACUUAAUUUUUUUUGUGAUGUUCCCAAUGAGGAAUAGAUUUUAAUUUCUACAGUCAAGGUUAAAUAUUCAGUGAGAAAUAUCACAUGGGGUACAUGCCAGAUCUUUGGCUCCAGAAAGGAAAUACUGCUAACUUCCAUAUACUUAAUUCUAUCUGCAUGUUGUUGCUCUCAAACAAAGCGUUACAAUUUUUUCCCUCAUUUCAGGAUUCACUAGCUGCACUCAACUUGCGUCGAAGUAACGGUGGACCAAAUCAAAACAACAGAAGGUAUUCAUUACCCCAAUACCAAAAAAUAAUUAUAUAGACAUUAAUUUACCUGGAUUAUUCAAAUGAUACCAAAAUAUAAUGCAGCAAUAUAUUGGGUGAUCAAACAAUACAAAUACCUGAGCAAGGAACCUCGCAGCUUGCGACAGUAGAAUCUAAUGAUAGUCAAUCAGAUAUUAUCAGAGCAGCAACGAAGGAAGCUAGACGAAAAAGGAAAGAGAUACUCCAGCUGAAAAGGGAAAGGAAACGAAUAAGGACGGAAAAGGACAAUAAUGGCUGUGAAGUAUCAAAUAUAGCAAAGGAUGUCACUCAAGUUUCAAAUUUUGGAAAACCAAAUUGCGUUUGUGAAUUUUGCAAUGUCAUUAUGUGGCAUGGAGAGAGAAGCACAAACACACGUAACAUCACAGUUCCAAAAUUUGGUCUCUGCUGCAAGGAAGGGAAAAUUAAAUUACCACCACUGAAGCAAGCUCCGUUGUAUCUCCGACAGCUACUACGUUACAAUGAAAGAGGAGAGUCAUCCAAUUUUCGCCAGAACAUCAGGUUGUACAACUCCAUGUUCGCGUUCACUUCAAUGGGAGGAAAGGUUGACUAUGAAAUUAAUAAGCAGACACCUGGACCAUAUGUUUUCCGUUUGAAUGGCCAAAACUACCAUCAGAUUGGCACUUUACUUCCUAAAGAUGACGUGAUGAAACCAAAAUUUGCCCAAUUGUACAUACAUGACACAGAAAAUGAAGUGCGUAACAGGAUUACUGCAUCAACUUCAAUGGAGAGUAAGACAAAGCCAGAUGAAAACAUUGUCAAAGGUCUACUAGAGAUGCUAGAUGAGCACAAUGUUUUAGUCAAAUCGUUUCGUAUGGCAAGGGACAGGUUCGAAAACCGAGAAAUUAAAGAUGUAAGACUAAGAUUGAUCAACAAAAGGUCAAAAGAUGGACGGCAAUACAACCUCCCAUCUGCCUCAGAAGUUGCAGCACUAAUUAUCGGGGAACAAGAUGGAGAAAAUAAUGAAUUUGAUAUAAUAAUUGAGACCAAAGACAGAAUGUUACAGAGGAUUUCAGAGUUGCACCCAAGCUAUAUGUCAAUGCAAUACCCCUUGCUUUUUCCAUAUGGAGAAGAUGGGUUCAGACCAGAAAUAGAGUAUCAAAAAAAGAGAGGCGACAAGUGUAAGAGAAAGUAUGUAACAAUACUGGAGUUUUAUGCAUAUCGCAUCCAACAACGUCUUAACCAAGCAACAACCUUGCAAAUGAGUGGACGUUUGUUCCUACAGUUCUUAGUUGAUGCAGCAACGUGCAUUGAACAAUGGAGACUAAAUUGGUACAGGACAAACCAAGGUAAGCUGAGGACAGAACUAUACAAAGGACUGCAUGAUGCAAUAGAAAAUGGAGAUACACGAACUGAACAAGUUGGCCAAAGAAUCAUACUACCCUCAACAUAUAAUGGUAGCCCUAGAAAUAAGCAGCAAAACUACCAAGAUGCCAUGGCGAUUUGUCGUUGGGCUGGCUAUCCUGAUCUCUUCAUCACUUUUACAUGCAAUCCGAAAUGGCCGGAAAUACAGGAUAUGUUGGAUCUGAUUCCAGGCCAGAAACCUGAAGAUCGUCCAGACAUUGUUGCCAGAGUAUUCAUGUUAAAACUGAAGGAACUUAUGUAUGACAUAAAGAACGAGAAGUGUUUUGGACAAACAAUUGCGAGUAAGUUUACCAACCAACUACAGAUUUACUAUUGCCUAGAUGAUUGUCCAAAAUCAUUUCUUCUAAAAUUUCUUUACUUGCAUGCAGUUGUCUACACGAUAGAGUUCCAAAAAAGAGGCCUCCCUCAUGCACAUAUACUGGUGUUUCUACAUCCAGAUGAUAAAGAUCCCAGUCCUUCCCAGAUCGACAAAAUCAUAUCAGCCGAAAUUCCUGACAAGAAUAGUGAUCCAGAUGGGUAUGAAGCAGUGCAAAAUUACAUGAUACAUGGUCCCUGCGGUCAAGCACACCCAAAAUCACCAUGCAUAGUCGAUAAAAGUUGUGCCAAACAUUUCCCCAAGAGGUUUUGCACUGAAACUACAAUAGAUGAAGAUAACUAUCCAGUAUAUAGAAGACGAGAUGAUGGCAAUACUGUGGACAAAAACGGAGUGAAGCUAGACAAUAAAUUUGUUGUGCCAUACAAUAGAAACAUACUGGUCAAGUAUCAAGCCCACAUAAAUGUUGAAUGGUGCAACAGAUCAAGGUCUAUAAAGUAUUUAUUCAAAUACAUCCACAAAGGAGAAGAUCGAACAACUGUAUUAAUAGAAACAGAAGAGCAACAAAGAGAAACAAGAGGUGGCAAAUUAACAAACAGGGACGACGAAAUCAAGAGAUACCUUGAUGCUUGGUACAUUUCUGGAUGUGAAGCCGCAUGGCGCAUAUUUCAGUUUCCUCUUCAGUAUAGAGAGCCUGCGGUUGAAAGGUUACAAUUUCACCUAGAAAAUGAACAUGUUGUGGUAUUCCCAGACUCGAUGGAUUUAGAUAAAAUCAUAUAUCGGCCUAACAUAGAAAAGACUAUGUUCACAGAAUGGAUGACAGCCAACCAAUUGCAUGAGGAAGCUCGCAGUUUGACGUAUGCACAGUUUCCAACCAAAUGGACUUGGCAUGCAAAAGAGAAAGAAUGGAGGAAAAGACGUGGUGGUAAAAAAACCAUAGGCAGGAUUUACUAUGCACAACCAACAAGCGGUGAAAAAUACUACUUGAGAAUGCUUCUAAAUACCGUGAAAGGAUGCAGAUCCUAUGAAGAAACCCGAACAGUUGAUGGGGCUGUAUAUCCAACAUACAAAUCUGCAUGUUAUGCUCUUGGGCUACUUAAUGACGACAAGGAGUGGGAUGACUGCAUCAAGGAAGCAUCCCAUUGGGCCUCUGCUCCUCAAAUGCGCCAACUUUUCUGCACAAUACUUUUAUUUUGCGAGGUGACUGAUCCUGCAAAGUUGUGGCAAACAAACUGGGAGUUACUAUCUGAGGACAUCCAACGUCGGCAAAGAAGAAUACUCAAUUUUCAGGCCCUAGAACUCAACUCAUUGCAAAUAAAGAGCCUCCUCUUGGCAGAGAUCGAACACCUAUUGGCUAAAGGUGGUAAGUCCCUCAAAGAUUUUCCAGGAAUGCCACUACCAGAUAGUUCGAUUCUUCAAGAUAUAAAUAAUAGAUUAGUAAAUGAGGAACUAAACUACGAUAAAGAUUCUUUAAGAAUAGAGCACACAGAGUUACUACAAAAGCUAAAUCAAGAUCAGAGGAUGGCUUUUGAUGUUAUAAUAGAAUCAGUUAGCAGCAGUCGUGGGAAACUGAUUUUCGUUGAUCGACAUGGUGGAACUGAAAAGACAUUUCUGUGGAAAGCAGUCAUGACAAAAUUAAGAUCCGAAGGAAAAAUAGUUCUAGCAGUAGCUUCAAGUGGUAUAGCAGCACUUCUUUUACAGGGUGGAAGAACAGCUCAUUCAAGAUUUCACAUUCCGCUCAAAAUCACAAACUAGUCGACAUGCAACAUCAAGCAAGGAACAUUUCUCGCGGAACUAAUAAAGAAAACUUCACUGAUAAUAUGGGAUGAAGCACCUAUGACACACAAGCACUGUUUUGAGGCACUAGACAAGAGUUUGAGAGACAUACUUCGAUUCACAAAUGAGGAUGCCGAGCAUAGACCGUUUGGAGGAAUGACAGUAGUCUUGGGAGGUGACUUCAGACAAAUCCUACCAGUUAUACCAAAGGGGAAAAGGGAACAUAUCAUUUCGGCAUCUAUAAAGAGAUCCUACCUAUGGAAGAACUUUGAGGAGUACCGACUCACAGAAAAUAUGCGUCUGAAUUCAUCCGAAGGUAGUCCAGAAGAGAAAGCAAAGACAGCUGAAUUUGCAAACUGGAUACUAAACAUCGGCGUUGGCACAACAGCAACAAUAGAUGAUGAAGACUGGGUUAGCAUCCUAGAAGACCUUAUUUUAAAUAAAGGAGAUGACCCAAAAGCAUCUAUAGUUAAUAACACAUGCCCUGAAUUACACAACAAGUACACUGAUAGAACAUACCUAGAGGAAAGAGCGAUCCUGUGCCCAAGGAACGAGACUGUUGACCAGAUUAACACCUACAUCAUGAGUCAAAUUCCUGGAGAAGAGGUAACCUAUCUCAGUUCAGAUACAACAUGCAAGGCAAUGUCUACGGUGGAAGACGAAGAUAUGUUGUACCCAACUGAAUUUCUAAAUAGUCUAACAUUUUCUGGAAUACCAGAUCAUGAACUGAGGCUGAAAAUAGGAUUACCAGUAAUGCUUAUGAGGAACAUCAAUCAAAGUGCAGGACUUUGCAAUGGGACAAGACUAACAAUAACACAGCUAGGAAAGCGUUUCAUCGAAGGCCAGGUCAUAACAGGUACUAACAUUGGUGACAAAGUUUACAUCCCACGAAUUAUUAUGUCACCAAGUGAUUCAAAAUGGCCUUUCAUUCUGAAAAGGAGACAAUACCCAAUAUCAGUGUGCUUUGCUAUGACAAUAAACAAAAGUCAGGGGCAAUCUCUCAAAAAGGUUGGACUCUACUUAGAAAGGCAAGUGUUCACACAUGGCCAACUCUAUGUUGCAAUGUCAAGGGUUACCAGCAGAAAUGGAUUGCGGAUACUUAUAUCAGAUGAAGAGCGUCCAUCCGACAAGGUUGCAAAAAACAUUGUUUACAAGG
RNAcentral lists this long non-coding RNA (5780 nucleotides) under Triticum aestivum (bread wheat). RNAcentral's name for it is "long non-coding RNA (TAES_LNC022213)". The record is from RNAcentral. Lineage: Eukaryota; Viridiplantae; Streptophyta; Magnoliopsida; Poales; Poaceae.